UACGUAGGCAGCGAGCGUUGUUCGGAGUUACUGGGCGUAAAGGGUGUGUAGGCGGUUGUUUAAGUUUGGUGUGAAAUCUCCCGGCUCAACUGGGAGGGUGCGCCGAAUACUGAAUGACUUGGAGUGCGGGAGAGGAGAGUGGAAUUCCUGGUGUAGCGGUGAAAUGCGUAGAUAUCAGGAGGAACACCGGUGGUGUAGACGGCUCUCUGGACCGUAACUGACGCUGAGACACGAAAGCCAGGGGAGCAAACGGG
RNAcentral lists this ribosomal RNA (254 nucleotides) under uncultured bacterium. RNAcentral describes it as "partial 16S ribosomal RNA". It matches the Rfam family "Bacterial small subunit ribosomal RNA", at positions 524 to 776 of the family's 1533-position model. The record is from RNAcentral.